This 147-nucleotide ribosomal RNA is filed under the name Triticum aestivum (bread wheat). The record is from RNAcentral. Lineage: Eukaryota; Viridiplantae; Streptophyta; Magnoliopsida; Poales; Poaceae. RNAcentral also lists the same sequence under 1 other name.
GGAUGCGAUCAUAUCAGCACUAAAGCACCGGAUCCCAUCAGAACUCCGAAGUUAAGCGUGCUUGGGCGAGAGUAGUACUAGGAUGGGUGACAGGCGAGAGUAGUACUAGGAUGGGUGACCUCCGGGGAAGUCCUCGUGUUGCAUUCC